UACGGAGGGUGCUAGCGUUGUUCGGAAUUACUGGGCGUAAAGCGCACGUAGGCGGACUGGAAAGUCAGAGGUGAAAUCCCAGGGCUCAACCUUGGAACUGCCUUUGAAACUCCCGGUCUUGAGGUCGAGAGAGGUGAGUUGAAUUCCGAGUGUAGAGGUGAAAUUCGUAGAUAUUCGGAGGAACACCAGUGGCGAAGGCGGCUCACUGGCUCGAUACUGACGCUGAGGUGCGAAAGCGUGGGGAGCAAACAGG
RNAcentral lists this ribosomal RNA (253 nucleotides) under uncultured bacterium. RNAcentral describes it as "partial 16S ribosomal RNA". It matches the Rfam family "Bacterial small subunit ribosomal RNA", at positions 524 to 776 of the family's 1533-position model. The record is from RNAcentral.